RNAcentral lists this transfer RNA (82 nucleotides) under Clostridiales bacterium. RNAcentral describes it as "tRNA-Leu". It matches the Rfam family "tRNA". From Rfam's summary of the family: Transfer RNA (tRNA) molecules are approximately 80 nucleotides in length. Their secondary structure includes four short double-helical elements and three loops (D, anti-codon, and T loops). The record is from RNAcentral. Lineage: Bacteria; Bacillati; Bacillota; Clostridia; Eubacteriales.
GCGGAUGUGGCGGAAUGGCAGACGCGCACGGUUCAGGUCCGUGUGAAUUCUAUUCGUGCAGGUUCAACUCCUGUCAUCCGCA